GAACGCUGGCGGCAUGCCUUACACAUGCAAGUCGAACGGCAGCACGGGAGCAAUCCUGGUGGCGAGUGGCGAACGGGGUGAGUAAUAUAUCGGAACGUGCCCAGUCGUGGGGGAUAACGCAGCGAAAGCUGUGCUAAUACCGCAUACGAUCUCUGGAUGAAAGCGGGGGACUCGCAAGGGCCUCGCGCGAUUGGAGCGGCCGAUAUCAGAUUAGCUAGUUGGUGGGGUAAAGGCCCACCAAGGCGACGAUCUGUAGCUGGUCUGAGAGGACGACCAGCCACACUGGAACUGAGACACGGUCCAGACUCCUACGGGAGGCAGCAGUGGGGAAUUUUGGACAAUGGGCGAAAGCCUGAUCCAGCAAUGCCGCGUGCAGGAUGAAGGCCUUAGGGUUGUAAACUGCUUUUGUACGGAACGAAACGGUCUUCUUUAAUAAAGGGGGCUAAUGACGGUACCGUAAGAAUAAGCACCGGCUAACUACGUG
This 484-nucleotide ribosomal RNA is filed under the name uncultured bacterium. RNAcentral's name for it is "bacterial SSU rRNA". It matches the Rfam family "Bacterial small subunit ribosomal RNA", at positions 31 to 507 of the family's 1533-position model. The record is from RNAcentral.